This 722-nucleotide ribosomal RNA is filed under the name uncultured Fusobacterium sp. RNAcentral describes it as "bacterial SSU rRNA". It matches the Rfam family "Bacterial small subunit ribosomal RNA", at positions 28 to 776 of the family's 1533-position model. Lineage: Bacteria; Fusobacteriati; Fusobacteriota; Fusobacteriia; Fusobacteriales; Fusobacteriaceae. The record is from RNAcentral.
GAUGAACGCUGACAGAAUGCUUAACACAUGCAAGUCAACUUGAACUUCGGUUUGGGUGGCGGACGGGUGAGUAACGCGUAAAGAACUUGCCUCACAGAUAGGGACAACAUUUGGAAACGAAUGCUAAUACCUAAUAUUAUGAUUUUAGGGCAUCCUAGGAUUAUGAAAGCUAUAUACGCUGUGAGAGAGCUUUGCGUCCCAUUAGCUAGUUGGAGAGGUAACGGCUCACCAAGGCGAUGAUGGGUAGCCGGCCUGAGAGGGUGAUCGGCCACAAGGGGACUGAGACACGGCCCUUACUCCUACGGGAGGCAGCAGUGGGGAAUAUUGGACAAUGGACCAAGAGUCUGAUCCAGCAAUUCUGUGUGCACGAUGAAGUUUUUCGGAAUGUAAAGUGCUUUCAGUUGGGAAGAAAAAAAUGACGGUACCAACAGAAGAAGUGACGGCUAAAUACGUGCCAGCAGCCGCGGUAAUACGUAUGUCACAAGCGUUAUCCGGAUUUAUUGGGCGUAAAGCGCGUCUAGGUGGUUAUGUAAGUCUGAUGUGAAAAUGCAGGGCUCAACUCUGUAUUGCGUUGGAAACUGUGUAACUAGAGUACUGGAGAGGUAAGCGGAACUACAAGUGUAGAGGUGAAAUUCGUAGAUAUUUGUAGGAAUGCCGAUGGGGAAGCCAGCUUACUGGACAGAUACUGACGCUGAAGCGCGAAAGCGUGGGUAGCAAACAGG